UUGCCUAUUUGUUUAACUGAAAAGUAAAUGGUAUAGGCUACGUCAAGUCUACCUCAUAAAGCUAGCUACUGGAUUUAUUUACAUUAGCUCAAAAUUUCAUUCAGGUUUUGCAUUCCCUUCCUUCUAAACUUUUAUAACUUCAUAACUGAAAGAGAAGUUAGAGGAUUAGAGAAAUAACAAAACACUUUUCAGGUUCGGUGCUCAGACAAUAGAAAAAAUAGUGCAACAGUUUGCUAUGUUAUAUACCUUUCCAGCAAAUCUAUCAAAAUAUUCAGAUUUGUCUUUUAUUCUCAUUUAAAAAAAUACAGUGCUCUUCUUGUUUUCUUGUGAGUAUGGAAGUAUGAGCAUCUUUAGAUGUCUUUAAAAUUAUUAAAAAAAAAGGAAUGCCAGCAACCCAGAGCUAGUCAUGUAAGUUGAUCACUGAAGCAGAUUUCAGAAGUGACGAAGUGUUAUUAAUCCAGUUGACUCCAGGUGGAGGCAAAGAUCCCUUUGCAAAGAGCAGCUUGCAUGCUUAAGACCAUCAGCUUUCUUGUGAAGACAGCAACUGAAGUAUAUUUUAGAUCUAUAAUUGUAAAUAGUUUAAUCUCCCUCAUAAAUGGAGCUGAACUCCUCAGGAAACGCAACAUAGCUUGGUGACUGGAACUCAGGAAACUCCCAAAUCAAUACCAGAACAAGCAUGGACUGAGGGAAGGUUGUUCAGUGCUUUUCAGUCCUAAGGACUACACUGUGUUUUAAAAAUAAGAUUUAGAAAUGCUGAAGGUGAUUAUAGCAGCUUUACCACUUUACCACACAUCUGAGUACAAGUGCCACUUAGAUGUGAAAUGGCUCAGCAUCUCAGCACACUGUGCUUUUUUUUCUUUACUGAAUCGCCUUUGGUUCAGGGCUUGGCCCUACAGUAAAUCAUACAGAGCUUUCCUCUUAUUCUGUGUAUUUUUUAGUGAGUGCUUUUAGUACCUUUCACUUUAUCCUAAGUACUUUGCCAAUUACACUGAUUUGCAAAGAGAAACAAAGGACUUGGGGCUGGAGAAAACUCGGAAAAUGCAGAAUGAUGCAGUAGUAAUUGUGGGAGGAAAAAAAAAAAAUCAAAAAGGUACCUUUGUGCUAUAGAGAUACCGGAUGCUACAAUUGGAAAGCUUAAUGGUUGCAUUCUCCUGUUCUGCUUUGGGGAAAUACACUGCAGUUUGCUGAAGUAGAUAAUGACUAAGAUCUAUCUAUUGGAAGGGACAUUAUUUUAAUCUUUGUAUAAUGCUACUAUGAAGGUCACCAGAGGUUGGUAAGAACGGCUGAAGAACGUUGCUGACAUACAAACGCUCAUGCUCUGAUGCCAGAGAAUGGAAGGAAGAUAAGAAGGGAGAAAUAAAAUGAAGGCAUGAAGAUGCAUGGUGAUAAGUGAUUUUGAAGUGAUGGAUGAGAGUUCACAGCAGGUUACUUUGGGAAGGAGACUAAGCAGCACUUUAGAAGAUGAUUCUUGCAAAAUGGGAAGCUUUCUAUGCAUUUUCUGCAAAUGAAAAUUUCUUCACUGGCAGCUUGCACUGGAAAGACUGCUCAGCAGUUUGAUGGGAUGCUGACAACCCUCAAGUCCAUUUGCAAACAAGGAUUUUGGAGAGGGAACCUCUUUACUUUCAAGGUAACUA
This is a long non-coding RNA of Tympanuchus pallidicinctus (lesser prairie-chicken), 1634 nucleotides long. RefSeq lists it as uncharacterized. The transcript is spliced from 3 exons. The record is from RefSeq and is a predicted model, not a curated record. Lineage: Eukaryota; Metazoa; Chordata; Aves; Galliformes; Phasianidae.